RNAcentral lists this long non-coding RNA (293 nucleotides) under Homo sapiens (human). RNAcentral describes it as "non-protein coding lnc-NBPF1-1:7". Lineage: Eukaryota; Metazoa; Chordata; Mammalia; Primates; Hominidae. The record is from RNAcentral.
CUGGCCUCACCUGCUCCCAAGACUUCCUGCCAUGGCAGGACUGAGGUCAGGUGUGGGGGCCCCUGGCUGGCCCUGAGUAGACAGGCUCUGUGUCUGCCUCAGCCUCCAGGACCACUGGCUGCCCAUGAGAGACGAAGGAUGGCAUCCAAGGGGGCCGGCGUGUCUUUCUCCCGCAAGAGCUGUAGGCUGACCUCAGAUGCUGAGAAAUCCAGGGUCACAGGCAUUGUGCAGGAGAAGCUGCUGAAUGACUACCUGAACCGCAUCUUUCCUCUUCUGACCAUGCACCCCCAGCA